CCUUUACAAAAUUCCUUCAGAGAAAAUAUGACAAGAAGCAAAGUUUUUCUUUUCUCGGCAGGAUUGUUCUCCACCUAAAGAGAUAAUGUUUAUCAUGUAGUCUAGAAUUUGAUGAUAUUAGGAACCAUUUUGUCUACAUGACAUUCAAAUAUAAGAGAAUUAAACUCUGAUGGAUGGUUUGGAGGCUAUUGAAAAAAAAAGUGAACUCUCCUUCUUUGCUAAUUUGUAUUAUUCUCAUUUGGCAAAUAACUGUUGCUGGCAUGGACAGCUUAGACCAAUUUAAUGUAUUGGACAGGAUCCCAGGAUUAAAUGAGGAUAUAAUCAAGAUAAAGCACCACCUUGUGAACCAGUAGGUCUUAAAACAGAAUUCAUGAACCUCUGGAAAACUACAGGUGAAGGAAAAAAAGGAAGGAGGAAAAAUAUAUUAGAGAAGAAAGGUGAAGAAAUGAGCAGAAUUUACUGUUUCACACAGUGAUAAGGAAGUGAUAAGGAGACGUGUACAUUGAUCACGUGAACCUCACUUUCAUCUGAACUGAAUAAAAGCUGUUGACAUACACAGAGCUUGAUUUUAAAAAAUUGAACUGAACAGGGAAGCAGGUAAGAAUAUGAAGAGGGCAGAGAGAGUGAAAAAAAAAAAAAGGGCAAAGAAAUGGAGCAGAAUUUAUUGUGCUUUAGAUGAACUCCAAAGAUAUAAACAGGGAAAUUACAUUAUGCCUAAAGAUACUGUAGACAAUGAAUUAAUACCAAUACUAUCUACACACACACACACACACAUACACACACACACACAUACAUGUGUUCAUUGGUCUGUAGCAGGAAAAUGACAAUAAAACUAUAAAAUGUGGGGGUCUCAGACUAUGUCUUUCAGACUCAGACAAAUAUAAAAUAAAAAGAAACAAAAUUAAGAGCCUGCAUAGAAUCUUAGACAAGUUGCAUAUAAUAGAAUUCUGGCAAUUAUUAAUCAUGAGCUGGGGCACAGAAAAUUCACAAAUAUGGAAAAAGGAAAUAUUAAGGAAUCCUCUAUUAACCAAUUAAUUAUCCAAUAAAUUAAGCAAUCCUCUAUUAAUCAAAAUUUAGUACAUAUCAUAUUUGAUAAAGAAACUCUGAAGAGUUAUCAAACUGUGCAUACCCUUUGACCCAGCAGUGCUAC
Molecule: long non-coding RNA, 1150 nt
Organism: Sarcophilus harrisii (Tasmanian devil)
Lineage: Eukaryota; Metazoa; Chordata; Mammalia; Dasyuromorphia; Dasyuridae
Exons: 3
Source: RefSeq, a predicted model, not a curated record